Molecule: ribosomal RNA, 497 nt
Filed under: uncultured bacterium
Lineage: Bacteria
Description: partial 16S ribosomal RNA
Rfam family: Bacterial small subunit ribosomal RNA
Source: RNAcentral
GACGAACGCUGGCGGCGUGCCUAAUACAUGCAAGUAGAACGCUGAAGGAAGGAGCUUGCUCUUUCUGGAUGAGUUGCGAACGGGUGAGUAACGCGUAGGUAACCUGCCUGGUAGCGGGGGAUAACUAUUGGAAACGAUAGCUAAUACCGCAUAAAAUUGAUUAUUGCAUGAUAGUCAAUUAAAAGGUGCAACUGCACCACUACCAGAUGGACCUGCGUUGUAUUAGCUAGUUGGUGGGGUAACGGCUCACCAAGGCGACGAUACAUAGCCGACCUGAGAGGGUGAUCGGCCACACUGGGACUGAGACACGGCCCAGACUCCUACGGGAGGCAGCAGUAGGGAAUCUUCGGCAAUGGACGGAAGUCUGACCGAGCAACGCCGCGUGAGUGAAGAAGGGUUUCGGAUCGUAAAGCUCUGUUGUAAGAGAAGAACGAGUGUGAGAGUGGAAAGUUCACGCUGUGACGGUAUCUUACCAGAAAGGGACGGCUAACUACGUG